GUUCCGGCGACUCCGUCAUCGGACCACAACUUCAUGUCGCGAUGUGGUGGAGGAGGGUUUGAGCAGAUCUAGAAGUCGAUCAACCGUGAUUUUAUUGAAUCUGCUCUAAGAACCCACCGGAUCUCCAAAGAACCGUCAUCUCCGGCGAUGGUUAAGCAGCCGGAGAUCGGCAUCGUCGCUGCCGGUGAAUGUGCCGAACUGACAUCGAUGAUGAUGAUGAGGAGGAUGAUUGUAGCGUCGGUUAACCGGUGAGUUGAAUCGCCGGGGGAAGAUUUUCGGGUAAGAGAUUGUUAUGCGCGACGGUAGGAACCGUGGCCGGUGAUAAUUGUGUUAGUAGGCUACGUGUAUUAAUCAAUGUUAAAUUCAUAUGUAUGUAUGUGUUAUUUAAAGGAGUUUAGUUUUCAGUAUACUAAACCUAGAUUAAUAUAAAACUUUCUGCAAAUCCUUAAAAGUAGGGUAUUUUCGUGGCAGGACAAUCUUGUCUAGAAAAAUAUCCGCAUGAAAGCGAUCCGGUGUUUGGUGCUUAUAGCCUUUUGGGUUUGGAAAAAUUGAUAAUUUGAAGUAAAAGGAAGGGCCUACAAAUGCUUAAAAAAAUGAGGGCACUCUGCGAAUCUUAGGUCUGGCCGUCUCUUAUCUUAGAUGUUUGAUAAGGUUUUGAAACAACAAACAGAGACUAACGAAAAAAAAAUGUGA
RNAcentral lists this long non-coding RNA (693 nucleotides) under Helianthus annuus (common sunflower). RNAcentral describes it as "hypothetical non coding rna". The record is from RNAcentral. Lineage: Eukaryota; Viridiplantae; Streptophyta; Magnoliopsida; Asterales; Asteraceae.